UUGCAACUCCGGGCGGCGCACGGGUCCUACCUUGGCUGAAGAGGAAGAAGCAGACGAAGAGCAGGUCGAGCUGGAAAGGUCUCAUUCCUCCGCGCGCCGAGGGGAAGCCGGCGGGGCAACUUGGGUUCGCGAAGAGUGAGCUGGAACACACCACUUGUAAUAAUAGCCAACCAAUUGGCUGUCUUCUCCUGGUCUUGCCGGCCUCUUCAAAAGAUGUUAAGAGCCCCCAGGAACGAUGUCCAGGUUUUGUGUCUCUCAAACACCCACCUUGGACAAGGACUUCGACUACUUGUAUCUCUAUUGGAAAAUGCCCAAGAUGCCUACAUCUUUGACUUGUGAAAAAUAGGCUUUCCUUUUGGGCUCUCAAAACAGUUUGGAGAUUCUUAUAUUAGCGUUUGGAGGCCUGAGUCUUUGCAUUUAACUAGAGGAAUUCUAGACUUCUUAAUUCUAAGCUGUAUUACUCUAGCAACUACAGUGAAGCAAGGAGAUGGUCUGAAAGUACCUACUCUGGACUGGACAGCUCCUAUCCUCAUCAUCUUUAUCCUUUAUGUUUGCGAGUGUCUUGGUUUAGCUGGAAAAAAAAUGAUCUGAAUGAAAAUUCAAUCAAUGUAAACCUGUUCUUGUGCAAAGGGAUUAUGAAACAACCAGGAACCGCUGCAGAAAUGUGAUUUACUUGAUUUGUGAAAAGAGGGGUUUACUGAGAUCAAAGGUCAGAGAUCAGAGUUUUUUAAAAAAUAUUUACUUAUUUGGCUAAACCAGGUCUAAGUUGUGGGAUCUUUAGUUGUCGCAUGCAGGGUCUUUCUUAGUUGCAACAUAUGGGAUCUAGUUCCCUGGCCAGGGAUGAAACCUGGACCCCCUGCACUGGAAGCCUGGAGUCUUAGCCACUGGACUACUGGGGAAGUCCCCUAGAGAUCAAAAUUUAAAGCUAAAUCUAGGCAGAAUGGGUAGGGCUGGUAGAAGUGGGGGUACAUGUGGCAAUCAGGUUGGGAAAAAUGGGAUGUUUGAUGGUAAAUGAGGGUUCCAUAGUUUUGGUAUGGAAUCCAGGGAAAUGAAUUUGCAUCCGUGUUGGAAUUACCUAGAAAACCUGAGGCCCCAGUGGAAAGCCCUGGCAUUCUUCCUGCAGGAGCUAAUGGGUCUGAUGUGAAAUGAGUGGUAACAAGAAAUCAGAUUUCUGCAUUUACACUCUAAUCUAGAUUUAGUUGCCAAGUUCUAAAAUACACAUGUGUAUUCAUCUGUUAGGGCUGCCAUAACAUAGAGGCACAGACUGGGUGGCUUAAACAACAGACAUUAAUCUCCUCAGAGUUCUGGAGGCUCUGAGCCCAAGAUCAAGGUAUCAGUAGGGCUGGUUUCUUCUGAGGCCUCUCCUUGGCUUGUACACGGCCACGUUCUCACUCUGUCUUCUCAUUGUCUCUCUAUGCUUGUCUGUGUCCUGUUCUCUUCUUGUAGGACACGAGUCAGAGUAGAGCCACCCUAGAGACCCCAUGGACUGCCGCACGCCAGGCCUCCCUGUCCUUCACCACCACCCAGAGCUUGUCCAAGUUCAUGUCCAUUGAAUUUGAGCAUGCACCCUGGAGACCCAAUGUAACUUCAAUUUCCUCUUGAAAGAGGCUUCCCAGGUGGCUCAUCCAUAAAGAAUUGGCCUGCUAGCUUCCCUGGUGGGUCAGUGGGUAAAGAAUCUGCCUGCCAAUGCGGGAGUCACAGGUUCUAUCCCUGGCCCGGGAAG
Bubalus bubalis (water buffalo) is the source of this 1723-nucleotide long non-coding RNA. RefSeq lists it as uncharacterized. The record is from RefSeq and is a predicted model, not a curated record. The transcript has 3 exons. Lineage: Eukaryota; Metazoa; Chordata; Mammalia; Artiodactyla; Bovidae.